CAGCACGAAGAACCAGUUCUGUCACGAACCCUUAGAAAGACCAGCUCCAGCCAGACUGUACUUCUUGGAGAUCUAAGUCAUAGCUCUGUGAAAUUCCUUUUGCAAGCUCCUGAUAUCCCAAUAUCUGCUGGCUGGUACCCACAGGACCACUUUAUGCUUCGAGAUAAAGACACCUAGACUUGUCAUCUGAACCCAGUACAGCCCGACAUCAGUGUUCUGUGGUCCUUCUACUCAUGAGUCACCUAACUCAAGUCCUGUCACACAUUCAGUGCACAGGUAUGAUUGUAAGGAGCUUGGAAAGUAGCCGUUUGGAGCCUGGAGCUGCAACUGACGCUGCCCACCACAUUACUGACCCAAAUGUGGAUCAACCAAGAAUUAUUGGGUGAAGCCUAUCCAUUGGCUGUGCCUCCAGCUAUGUGGUCACAGCAAGAGAACUGGCCCCUUGAAAGCAAUCAUGCCUGCCCAUCGAGGAAUAGCUGACUCAAUGGCCCCAUUCAUGGGCCUUCCCACACCUUCCAGCUCUCCUUCUCUCCAGAGAUAUAUGGCAGGAUAUCCAUAUAUGCAGCUGUCGGUGGAAAACCAUGGAAUGGGUGCGGUGGGUGGAAAAUACCUUUCUUUUUGCAAAUUUAUGGAAAGCAAAUAUUGCAGUUUUCCUCCUUCAUGAUGCUAAAUAUAGCAGGUAACAGAUCCUCCUUUAAAAACUUAAAACCGACAUUGAUUUUUUUCAUAAAGAAGGAAUAGCAAAAACACAGGAGACAGGCAAAUCUGCUACAAUCAUUGAGUAUUGAUACAAAAGCCAAUUCUUUCUAGUUAGACCCAAAAACCACCCAUGCUAAGGGUGGCUGGCAUGCAGUCUUAACUCAGAACUUAGUAUUAACAAUGGCAUGUACAUGUUCAGCACAUUCCUUCCACGGCUGUAAGUCCUACCCCAAAGUAUAUUCCUUUCCCCUUCUUCCUGCAUGGCCAACACAUUUAUUUGUGUUCUCAUGGCCUCUAAUCUCAGUCCCUUCAGACAUGAUAGUGCUACUUGAUAUUAAAGUAUAGAUAAAGAUACCGUUUUAUAAAGAUUAGUAACUGUAGUUCAUGUCACAGUUUCUUAAGCUCGGUGUUAUUGACAUUUUAGACCAAGUAAUUAUUUGUUGUGGGGGAUGUCCUGU
Molecule: long non-coding RNA, 1157 nt
Organism: Herpailurus yagouaroundi (jaguarundi)
Lineage: Eukaryota; Metazoa; Chordata; Mammalia; Carnivora; Felidae
Exons: 3
Source: RefSeq, a predicted model, not a curated record